UCCCUGUACGACCGGUGUCAGAGUCUGGUCCACAUCGUUUCCGGUGAGAGUUGGACUCCGCCAGGGCUGCCCUUUGUUACCGAUUCUGUUCAAUAGUUUCAUGGACAAAAUUUCUAGGCGCAGCCAAGGUGUUGAGGGACUUUGUUUUGGCGGCCUUAGGAUCCUAUAUCUGCUUUAGGCGGAUAAAGUGGUCCUGUUGGUUUCAUCGGGUUGUGAUCUACAGUUCUUGCCGGAGCGGUUCACAGCUGAGUGUGAAGCAGCCGGGAUGAGGAUCAGUGCCUCCAAAGGGUAGAGUGCCUUCUCCAGGUCGGGAGGUUGGGGGGGGGAGGAUGUCCUGUCCCAAGUGGCGGAGUUUAAGUAUUUCUAGGUUCAUGAAUGAGGGAAAAUGGAGCGGGCAUCUGGUUAGGAUGGAUGUCUCCCUGGUGGUGGGAGGCGCAGAGGGAGACCCAGGACACGCUGGAGGGAUGAUGGUCCUCUGCUGGGAACACCUUGGAAUUCCCCCAGAGGAGCUGGAGCAGGAGGCUGGCAGAGGGAAGUCUAGGCCCCGCGACCCGACAAAGAGGAAGAAGAUGGACGGUUGGCAUAUAAUUAUCUCAUGAUGGUAUCAUCUCUAAAAUGGAUGGACAGUGCAGCUGGGCCAGAUUUUGACUGAUAAAAUACAGAAAAUCUGAUUAUUUACUCAAACAGGAAGUCAUUAUUAUCACAUCAGUACCGGAGGUUCUGGUUCCUAACCAAUCACAAGCUCUCAGUUCUUCAUCCAUGUAUCUCAUACGGUGCAGAAGCAAACAUGCUGCCACAGCCAUCCAGAACCGGGUGGUUCUAAGGAUCCAGGACUAGUUGAACAUGUUUCCUAAAUAUGUUGCAAUUUUCCUAUUACCUAGAAAAUUGCUGUUUGUAUUACGCCAAAACUCAUAAUUCAAAAAUUUACAUCUUUUGUUACAUUUGUCACCCAUGGAGGUCGCCAUUUUUCACAGAUGGGUUGAUGACGUCAAGGCUAACUUUACCCAAGUAGUUGUUUAUCAUAUUGCGUUUGACUGGUGUCAUUUUAGAUAAUGCCACACUGUGGCACUAUUGGCUGUAAUUAAAAAAAUAAAAAUUGAGACAGAAUCUGGAUAAUUUAUGAAAGAGAGGAGAGUGCAGUGCCAGAGCCGGAGUGGAACACAAUGAAGGUCCUGAUCUGGACCCUGGACAUUUCUCCGCAACACUGAGCCAUUUAUACCAGCAGAACCAACAAAGGCUCUGACAGGUGAUCGUUACCUUAACGAGAUAAAAAUAAAUGCCGUGCUGAGACGGGCAGAGCUGGAUGCUCUUUGAGAUGCUAACAGGAGCUAUACUGCCUGGGUACUGACGUCACCGAUCCAACCGGAUCCACGGGGGUUCGGUGUCGGUGUGGCGGUUACCACCACACAGGACUCUGAACAGCACAGCUGAUGCCGAACCGGACACAGCGCUAAAGACGCUGGGAGAGACGUCAAAGACAAGCAACGCUAACGGAGCCUUUACUACUGGAAAUGCUAACGGAGCUAGAUCACCGGUACUGAAUGUGAAACCACCGGACACAGUUCGGAGUCUAAACCGCUGUUGCCAAACCGGACUCAGAGCUAUAGAAGUACUUACCGGAUCACGCAGUCCAACCAGAGGGAAUUAUUAAGACAAAGAUUCAACUUUGAUACCAACAGCUGGACCUUUUGUGACAACGACUCUGAAACAACAGAUCGUCUCUUUUUCUAUUGUGUGCAAACUGGAACAUUUUGGAGGAACUUUCAGGACUGGAUCUCAUCAAAACUUUCCUCCAUCAUCCCUUAAAAAGAGAGGAUCUAAUAUUUGGAAAAACCCACAGAGACAGAAGAACCUCAUUCUUCACAACCUGCUGAUCCUCACCAAAUUCUUCAUCCACUCCUGUAAAUGGGGAAAUAGAAAUCCUGACUUUUCAGCUUUUAAAAACCUUUUAAUGGACAAAAAUCACUUCAGAACCUUAAAACUGAUGAAAAACAAGCAGGAAUAAAUACAGCUUUUGGACGCCUAUAAUGGUCUGAAUUUAUUUGAAAACUAAAGCCCCUUUGUCUCUGUUUUUUCGGUUUGUUUUUUUCAUUAUGCUAUCCCUCUGUUUGAUGUCUGAUAAAUUUUAUUUAUUUAUAAUUUUAUUUUACCUGUUUGAAUUUUUUAAUUUUUUUUAUUGUCAUAAUUAUACAUGUGCCUUAAGCCUGUAAGACUUGUUUUCGUCAUGUAUGUACAUGCCACGUGAUCUUGUACACUUGUUCAAAAUGUUUAAUAAAAAAAAAAAAAAAA
Long non-coding RNA from Xiphophorus maculatus (southern platyfish), 2289 nucleotides. RefSeq lists it as uncharacterized. The record is from RefSeq and is a predicted model, not a curated record. NCBI's taxonomy places the organism in Eukaryota, Metazoa, Chordata, Actinopteri, Cyprinodontiformes, Poeciliidae. The transcript has 2 exons.